Parelaphostrongylus tenuis is the source of this 76-nucleotide non-coding RNA. NCBI's taxonomy places the organism in Eukaryota, Metazoa, Nematoda, Chromadorea, Rhabditida, Metastrongylidae. The record is from the annotation of a GenBank genome assembly.
GGGUCGGUAGUGCGAUUGGCUAGCACAGGCUUCCCUCGUAAAGGGUGAAACGCGGGUUCGAUUCUCGUCCGAUUCA